GACGAACGCUGGCGGCGUGCUUAACACAUGCAAGUCGAACGGAAAGGCCCUGCUUUUGUGGGGUGCUCGAGUGGCGAACGGGUGAGUAACACGUGAGUAACCUGCCCUUGACUUUGGGAUAACUUCAGGAAACUGGGGCUAAUACCGGAUAGGAGCUCCUGCUGCAUGGUGGGGGUUGGAAAGUUUCGGCGGUUGGGGAUGGACUCGCGGCUUAUCAGCUUGUUGGUGGGGUAGUGGCUUACCAAGGCUUUGACGAGUAGCCGGCCUGAGAGGGUGACCGGCCACAUUGGGACUGAGAUACGGCCCAGACUCCUACGGGAGGCAGCAGUGGGGAAUAUUGCACAAUGGGCGGAAGCCUGAUGCAGCAACGCCGCGUGCGGGAUGACGGCCUUCGGGUGGUAAACCGCUUUCGCCUGUGACGAAGCGUGAGUGACGGUAAUGGGUAAAGAAGCACCGGCUAACUACGU
This 467-nucleotide ribosomal RNA is filed under the name uncultured bacterium. Its description in RNAcentral is "partial 16S ribosomal RNA". It matches the Rfam family "Bacterial small subunit ribosomal RNA", at positions 28 to 506 of the family's 1533-position model. The record is from RNAcentral.